UUGAUUGAAGGAGCUUCAUCUCCUCCAUUGCCGAAGACAAUCUUUUUUCUAUUUCUGCAACUUCUUCUGAUUCCUUGCUUUCUAGAUUAUCGUCUUUAGUAACAUUGUUCAAUCCUUGGUCCUUGAAAUCAUCUGCUAAUGGAGGCCACAUCACAGCAGUGGGAGCAAAAAAAUCAAUCGUCUGCCCAGUUCCAAGGACCCCACUUCUUCCCCUACCCCAGGACCAAAGCUUAUAUCCAUCAUUUGCAACAAGAACAGUAUGGGCGGCCCCACAAACAACUUGGACUGGAUCAUGAAAUCUAGGCUCUUGCGGCCCUGUUAUUCGUAGGGGCGACAAAGCAUCCCCUGCAUCUGUUCCAGUAAAUCUAGCAUCUGGGCAGAGGCCAAGCCCUUUCUCCAUUCCCCAUGACCACACAUCACCAGCUGAUGAAACAACACCAGUAUGAAAUAAACCACAAUCAACAGAGACCAGGUACGCAUCUUGUGGCAAUUCAUUUACAGGUUCAGGUUUCAGUGCACUUUGGGAGGUUCCAUGCCCAAGCUGCCCAUUUUCACCCAGGCCAAAAGUCCAGCAUGUGCUUUCUAAUUUUUCAUUGGGUCUCUUUUUGUGAGUGAGCAAAGCGGUAUGAAAUGCACCGCAUGCUACCUCAUAAAUAGCCCAGGGAGAGUGCUGGUUAAAUGUUUCAACAAUUUCAGGAUGAAUUCUGCUCUCUCUAUCUCCCAAACCCAACUGGCCAUGGUUAUUGUUUCCCCAAGAGUAGCAUACUAGAUCCUCACCUUCAUAUGUUUCUCCAACAGUUACCAAAGCUACAACAUGCUCAUUUCCACAUGCCACCUUUACAACAGUGUGGCCAUGGAAAUCCCAGACAGGAAUCGGAGUGAAACUGCUGACCAGGGAGAAACCACUCUCGCCACUGCUGCUGCUUUGCUGUGGGCAAUUGCCCCAUAUCCACAGGGUCCCAAGAUUGUCGAUUGCUAGAGACAUCAUCCCUCCUGCUUUAACAGAACAAGCCUUUAAUGGUGCUUCUCUCUUUGUUU
RNAcentral lists this unclassified non-coding RNA (1038 nucleotides) under Hevea brasiliensis (rubber tree). The record is from RNAcentral. Lineage: Eukaryota; Viridiplantae; Streptophyta; Magnoliopsida; Malpighiales; Euphorbiaceae.